This 253-nucleotide ribosomal RNA is filed under the name uncultured bacterium. Its description in RNAcentral is "partial 16S ribosomal RNA". It matches the Rfam family "Bacterial small subunit ribosomal RNA", at positions 524 to 776 of the family's 1533-position model. The record is from RNAcentral.
UACAGAGGUCUCAAGCGUUGUUCGGAUUCAUUGGGCGUAAAGGGUGCGUAGGCGGCGCGGUAAGUCGGGUGUGAAAUCUCGGAGCUUAACUUCGAGACUGCAUUCGAUACGGGCUAGCUAGAGUGUGGUAGGGGAGAUCGGAAUUCCUGGUGUAGCGGUGAAAUGCGCAGAUAUCAGGAGGAACACCGGUGGCGAAGGCGGAUCUCUGGGCCAUUACUGACGCUGAGGAGCGAAAGCGUGGGGAGCGAACAGG